CAGCAGCCGCGGGAAUACGGAGGGUGCAAGCGUUAAUCGGAAUUACUGGGCGUAAAGCGCACGCAGGCGGUCUGACAAGUCAGAUGUGAAAUCCCCGGGCUUAACCUGGGAACUGCAUUUGAAACUGUCAGGCUGGAGUGUUGUAGAGGGGGGUAGAAUUCCAGGUGUAGCGGUGAAAUGCGUAGAGAUCUGGAGGAAUACCGGUGGCGAAGGCGGCCCCCUGGACAAAGACUGACGCUCAGGUGCGAAAGCGUGGGGAGCAAACAGGAUUAGAUACCCCAGUAGUCCCUGUCUCUUAUAC
Molecule: ribosomal RNA, 301 nt
Filed under: uncultured bacterium
Lineage: Bacteria
Description: partial 16S ribosomal RNA
Rfam family: Bacterial small subunit ribosomal RNA
Source: RNAcentral